Molecule: ribosomal RNA, 625 nt
Filed under: Bacillus sp. (in: firmicutes)
Lineage: Bacteria; Bacillati; Bacillota; Bacilli; Caryophanales; Bacillaceae
Description: bacterial SSU rRNA
Rfam family: Bacterial small subunit ribosomal RNA
Source: RNAcentral
UGCAAGUCGAGCGGACAGACGGGAGCUUGCUCCCUGAUGUUAGCGGCGGACGCCUGAGUAACACGUGGGUAACCCGCCUGUAAGACUGGGAUAACUCCUCGGAAACCGGGGCUAAUACCGGAUGCUUGUUUGAACCGCAUGGUUCAAGCAUAAAAGGUGGCUUCGGCUACCACUUACAGAUGGACCCGCCGCGCAUUAGCUAGUUGGUGAGGUAAUGGCUCACCAAGGCAACGAUGCGUACCCGACCUGAGAGGGUGAUCGGCCACACUGGGACUGAGACACGGCCCACACUCCUACGGGAGGCAGCAGUAGGGAAUCUUCCGCAAUGGACGAAAGUCUGACGGAGCAACGCCGCGUGAGUGAUGAAAGUUUUCGGAUCGUAAAGCUCUGUUGUUAGGGAAGAACAAGUACCGUUCGAAUAGGGCGGUACCUUGACGGUACCUAACCAGAAAGCCACGGCUAACUACGUGCCAGCAGCCGCGGUAAUACGUAGGUGGCAAGCGUUGUCCGGAAUUAUUGGGCGUAAAGGGCUCGCAGGCGGUUUCUUAAGUCUGAUGUGAAAGCCCCCGGCUCAACCGGGGAGGGUCAUUGGAAACUGGGGAACUUGAGUGCAGAAGAGGAGAGU